This 429-nucleotide ribosomal RNA is filed under the name Bacteroidota bacterium. Its description in RNAcentral is "Bacteroidetes bacterium partial 16S ribosomal RNA". It matches the Rfam family "Bacterial small subunit ribosomal RNA", at positions 355 to 776 of the family's 1533-position model. Lineage: Bacteria; Pseudomonadati; Bacteroidota. The record is from RNAcentral.
UAGGGAAUCUUCGGCAAUGGGGGGAACCCUGACCGAGCAACGCCGCGUGAGUGAAGAAGGUUUUCGGAUCGUAAAGCUCUGUAGUUAAGGAAGAACGAGUGUGAGAAUGGAAAGUUCAUACUGUGACGGUACUUAACCAGAAAGGGACGGCUAACUACGUGCCAGCAGCCGCGGUAAUACGUAGGUCCCGAGCGUUGUCCGGAUUUAUUGGGCGUAAAGCGAGCGCAGGCGGUUAGAUAAGUCUGAAGUUAAAGGCAGUGGCUCAACCAUUGUAGGCUUUGGAAACUGUUUAACUUGAGUGCAGAAGGGGAGAGUGGAAUUCCAUGUGUAGCGGUGAAAUGCGUAGAUAUAUGGAGGAACACCGGUGGCGAAAGCGGCUCUCUGGUCUGUAACUGACGCUGAGGCUCGAAAGCGUGGGGAGCGAACAGG